ACGCGGCAUCCAGAUUAAUUUUGAAAACUCAUCCGGAUUUUUCGGGAUUUCUGGAUGAGAUGUUUGAACGCUUCCAACUACAGCAAACUCAUCCAAAAGUGCUAAAAGUCGGUAAUACCCUUAUUUUAUUUUAAAAAUUAUAAAAGUUUUGCCAUUAAUUUUUUUUAACCUAGAUCGUCGUAUCUCUUCAUCCUCCUCUCUUCAACCUCAGAUCUCUGCAACCAUGAACCUCUGAUCUCUCUCAGCCCUCUCUCUCUGUCUCUCUCUCUCUCAGGCAGUCUCUCUCUCUCGAACCCAUCUCUCUCUCUCACAGAGUCUCUCUCUCGAACCCAUCUCUCUCUCACGCAGUCUCUCCCUCUCUCAAGCUCUAUUGGU
RNAcentral lists this long non-coding RNA (375 nucleotides) under Brassica napus (rape). Its description in RNAcentral is "long non-coding RNA (BNAP_LNC000686)". The record is from RNAcentral. Lineage: Eukaryota; Viridiplantae; Streptophyta; Magnoliopsida; Brassicales; Brassicaceae.